This 245-nucleotide ribosomal RNA is filed under the name uncultured bacterium. RNAcentral describes it as "partial 16S ribosomal RNA". It matches the Rfam family "Bacterial small subunit ribosomal RNA", at positions 524 to 768 of the family's 1533-position model. The record is from RNAcentral.
UACGGGGGGUGCUAGCGUUGUUCGGAAUCAUUGGGCGUAAAGAGCGUGUAGGCGGCAUGAUAAGUCGGAUGUGAAAUCCCCGGGCUUAACUCGGGAAGUGCAUUCGAAACUGUCAUGCUUGAGUAAGGGAGAGGGAAGCGGAAUUCCUGGUGUAGAGGUGAAAUUCGUAGAUAUCAGGAGGAACACCAGUGGCGAAGGCGGCUUCCUGGCCCUAUACUGACGCUGAGACGCGAGAGCGUGGGGAG